AUUCCAGCUCCAAUAGCGUAUAUUAAAGUUGUUGCAGUUAAAAAGCUCGUAGUUGAAUUUCUGGUGGGAGUGUACAGUCCGACACUGAGUGUUGGUUCUUGUGUGUCUCCGGCCAUCCUUGGAGUGAAUCUGUCUGGCAUUUAGUUGUUGGGCAGAGUAUCUCCAUCGUUUACUGUGAGGAAAGGAAAGUGUUCAAAGCAGGCUUACGCCGUUGAAUCUUUUAGCAUGGAAUAAUAAGAUAGGACUUCGGUUCUAUUUUGUUGGUUUCUAGAUCUGGAGUAAUGAUUGAUAGGGAUAGUUGGGGGUGCUAGUAUUAAGGGGCCAGAGGUGAAAUUCUUGGAUUCUCUUAAGACUAACUUAUGCGAAAGCAUUCACCAAGGAUGUCUUCAUUG
This 392-nucleotide ribosomal RNA is filed under the name Eucampia sp. RNAcentral's name for it is "partial small subunit ribosomal RNA". It matches the Rfam family "Eukaryotic small subunit ribosomal RNA", at positions 582 to 975 of the family's 1831-position model. The record is from RNAcentral. Lineage: Eukaryota; Bacillariophyta; Thalassiosirophyceae; Eucampiales; Eucampiaceae.